RNAcentral lists this small nucleolar RNA (127 nucleotides) under Castor canadensis (American beaver). Its description in RNAcentral is "Small nucleolar RNA SNORA51 (ENSCCNG00000003750.1)". It matches the Rfam family "Small nucleolar RNA SNORA51". From Rfam's summary of the family: ACA51 is a member of the H/ACA class of snoRNA that guide the sites of modification of uridines to pseudouridines. The record is from Rfam by way of RNAcentral. Lineage: Eukaryota; Metazoa; Chordata; Mammalia; Rodentia; Castoridae.
GGCCUCCUGGUUCUUACCGCAGGUUGUAUUCUUACACUGGCUAUAUAGAAAGAGAAAGUAAACCUACCACAUACACAACUCAGUCCAGGCCCUGUUUCUGGUCUGUAUUGUGAAUGGGGAGACAUGG